Unclassified non-coding RNA from Erinaceus europaeus (western European hedgehog), 323 nucleotides. Its record names the gene 7SK. It matches the Rfam family "7SK RNA". From Rfam's summary of the family: 7SK was discovered as an abundant small nuclear RNA in the mid-70s but a possible function has only recently been suggested. Two independent studies have found that 7SK RNA binds the CDK9/cyclin T complex (known as elongation factor P-TEFb). NCBI's taxonomy places the organism in Eukaryota, Metazoa, Chordata, Mammalia, Eulipotyphla, Erinaceidae. The record is from Ensembl.
AGAUGUGAGGGGGAUUUGGCUGUGACACCUGUCACCACAUUGAUCACCAGGGCUGAUCGAGCUGAUCCGGCUGGCUAGGCGGGCAUCCCCUUCCUCCCUCACUGCUCCAUGUGCGUCCCUCCCGGAGCUGCACACUCAGUCAAAGAGGACGGACUUCCCUGAACAGAGAUGCACUGGUGUUCAGCUGAGGGUCUAUAAUUAGCUGUGCUCCCCUGCUAGAACCUCUAAACAAGCUCUCUACUGAGCCAGCAAAACUUUGAGCAUGUGACUGAACUUGCUCAACCCCAGAAAUAUCAGCAGAAUAUUGGGGUAAUAGUAGCUAC